Molecule: transfer RNA, 72 nt
Filed under: Marmota monax (woodchuck)
Lineage: Eukaryota; Metazoa; Chordata; Mammalia; Rodentia; Sciuridae
Description: tRNA.Ala
Source: RNAcentral
GGGGAUGAAGCUCAGUGGUCAAGUACUUGCCCAGCAUGAGCAAGGCUUUGGGUUCAAUCCCCAGCAACCCUU